GACUCAGUAGCUCAGCUGGUAGAGCAACGCCCUUUUAAGGCGUGGGUCCAGGGUUCGAAUCCCUGCUGAGUCACUA
Molecule: transfer RNA, 76 nt
Filed under: Carboxylicivirga sp. M1479
Lineage: Bacteria; Pseudomonadati; Bacteroidota; Bacteroidia; Marinilabiliales; Marinilabiliaceae
Description: tRNA-Lys
Rfam family: tRNA
About the family: Transfer RNA (tRNA) molecules are approximately 80 nucleotides in length. Their secondary structure includes four short double-helical elements and three loops (D, anti-codon, and T loops).
Source: RNAcentral